RNAcentral lists this ribosomal RNA (1343 nucleotides) under uncultured bacterium. RNAcentral describes it as "bacterial SSU rRNA". It matches the Rfam family "Bacterial small subunit ribosomal RNA". The record is from RNAcentral.
AGAGUUUGAUCCUGGCUCAGAACGUACGCUGGCGGCACGCCUAACACAUGCAAGUCGAACGAAGUAGCAAUACUUAGUGGCAAACGGGUGAGUAUGAUGUGGGUAUCUGCCCUUUGGUAUGGAAUAACACGAGGAAACUUGUGCUAAUACUGUAUAAGCCUUCACAGGGAAAGCUUUAUGCGCCGAAGGAUGAGCCCGCACUUGAUUAGCUAGUUGGUAAGGUAAUAGCUUACCAAGGCAACGAUCAAUAGCUGAUCUGAGAGGAUGAUCAGCCACAUUGGGACUGAGACACGGCCCAAACUCCUACGGGAGGCAGCAGUGGGGAAUCUUGCACAAUGGGGGAAACCCUGAUGCAGCGAUGCCGCGUGAGUGAAGAAGGCCUUUGGGUUGUAAAGCUCUUUCGUCGGGGAAGAAAAUGACUGUACCCGAAUAAGAAGGUCCGGCUAACUUCGUGCCAGCAGCCGCGGUAAUACGAAGGGACCUAGCGUAGUUCGGAAUUACUGGGCUUAAAGAGCUCGUAGGUGGUUAGAAAAGUUAGUGGUGAAAUCCCAAGGCUUAACCUUGGAACUGCCACUAAAACUUUUUAACUAGAGUAUGGUAGAGGUAAGCGGAAUUUCUAGUGUAGAGGUGAAAUUCGUAGAUAUUAGAAAGAACACCAAUUGCGAAGGCAGCUUUCUGGAUCAUUACUGACACUGAGGAGCGAAAGCAUGGGUAGCGAAGAGGAUUAGAUACCCUCGUAGUCCAUGCUGUAAACGAUGUGUGCUAGACGUUGGAAAUUUAUUUUUCAGUGUCGCAGCAAAAGCGUUAAGCACACCGCCUGGGGAGUACGACCGCAAGGUUAAAACUCAAAUGAAUUGACGGGGACCCGCACAAGUAGUGGAGCAUGUGGUUUAAUUCGAAGAUACGCGCAGAACCUUACCAACACUUGACAUGUUUGUCGCGACUCUAAGAGAUUAGAGUCUUCGGUUCGGCCGGACAAAACACAGGUGCUGCAUGGCUGUCGUCAGCUCGUGUCGUGAGAUGUUGGGUUAAGUCCCGCAACGAGCGCAACCCUUACUUUUAGUUGCCAUCAUUUAGUUGGGCACUCUAAAAGAACUGCCAGUGAUAAGCUGGAGGAAGGUGGGGAUGACGUCAAGUCCUCAUGGCCCUUACGUGUUGGGCUACACACGUGCUACAAUGGUACUUACAAUGAGAUGCAAAGAGGCGACUCUAAGCUAAUCCCAAAAAGGUACCUCAGUUCGGAUUGUACUCUGCAACUCGAGUACAUGAAGCUGGAAUUACUAGUAAUCGUGGAUCAGCGCGCCACGGUGAAUACGUUCCCGGGUCUUGUACACACCGCCCGU